AUUACUGUAUAUUGCAACGCCUGGACAUACACAUGGUUUGGAUAUACUGAAGACAAAAGGAAUAAUAUAUGGGAAUGGAUAAGGCUGAUUUCCCCCUAUCCACAGCCACGCCUACUCCUAAAGUAACAUUGCGUACAUCCUUACUAUGCCCUUUUACUGUAGAAUUUCCCGAAUCCUAAUGACCAAUUCCACUACAUGGUGUGACUUGUUUAAGCCUAAGAUAAAUUGGCUGAUCAGGCUACCUGUAUUAACAAUGUCAUCAACGAUGAGUUAGCAUCUGUGGAGAAGUAUCACUUCAGGUUGUCCCAAAUUUUCUUUUAACUUAAGUUUUAGUACAUAGUAAGGCCCAUGCCCAAUAACUAUAUGCAGCCUUGUAUAGCAGGCCACAUGACAUCUAUUUGUACCAAGCAAGGCCUGCCUGACUCCUCAUUCCUGUCUAACAUUGUUGUCUCCUGCAUAAGUGUAGAUGGCUCUCCUUGGAGUAGCCUGUUAACUAAGCCUUGCUUUGUGGUUACCUUCACCUGUCCAAUUAAUCUGCUAGGUGCAGAUGUCCUUCCCCCACUUGCAGGCCCCUAUCACCUUAUUAUUUAUUUUGUUCCACACAGUGAAACCUGACCAAGAGGCAAGGGUCCUAGCUAGUUCCCCC
Non-coding RNA from Pelobates cultripes (western spadefoot toad), 646 nucleotides. The record is from the annotation of a GenBank genome assembly. NCBI's taxonomy places the organism in Eukaryota, Metazoa, Chordata, Amphibia, Anura, Pelobatidae.